Molecule: unclassified non-coding RNA, 379 nt
Filed under: uncultured Bifidobacteriaceae bacterium
Lineage: Bacteria; Bacillati; Actinomycetota; Actinomycetes; Bifidobacteriales; Bifidobacteriaceae
Description: contains 16S-23S intergenic spacer region
Source: RNAcentral
UCCGAGUUGACCCCGGCGGUCCCCCGUGAGUUCCCACCAUGACGUGCUGGCAACACAGGGCGAGGGUUGCGCUCGUUGCGGGACUUAACCCAACAUCUCACGACACGAGCUGACGACGACCAUGCACCACCUGUGAACCCGCCCCGAAGGGAGGCCAUAUCUCUACGGCUGUCGGGAACAUGUCAAGCCCAGGUAAGGUUCUUCGCGUUGCAUCGAAUUAAUCCGCAUGCUCCGCCGCUUGUGCGGGCCCCCGUCAAUUUCUUUGAGUUUUAGCCUUGCGGCCGUACUCCCCAGGCGGGAUGCUUAACGCGUUAGCUCCGACACGGAACCCGUGGAACGGGCCCCACAUCCAGCAUCCACCGUUUACGGCGUGGACUAC